Molecule: ribosomal RNA, 255 nt
Filed under: uncultured bacterium
Lineage: Bacteria
Description: partial 16S ribosomal RNA
Rfam family: Bacterial small subunit ribosomal RNA
Source: RNAcentral
CAAACUGGAGAUGGCGACCGGCGCACGGGUGAGUAACACGUAUCCAACCUGCCGAUAACUCGGGGAUAGCCUUUCGAAAGAAAGAUUAAUACCCGAUGGUAUAAUAAAACCGCAUGGUUUAAUUAUUAAAGAAUUUCGGUUAUCGAUGGGGAUGCGUUCCAUUAGGCAGUCGGUGAGGUAACGGCUCACCAAACCUUCGAUGGAUAGGGGUUCUGAGAGGAAGGUCCCCCACAUUGGAACUGAGACACGGUCCAA